RNAcentral lists this ribosomal RNA (1633 nucleotides) under Rhabdodemania sp. AS22. RNAcentral describes it as "SSU rRNA". It matches the Rfam family "Eukaryotic small subunit ribosomal RNA". Lineage: Eukaryota; Metazoa; Nematoda; Enoplea; Triplonchida; Rhabdodemaniidae. The record is from RNAcentral.
ACAGCUAUCGUUUAUUGGAACCUAUAAUCCUACUUGGAUAACUGUGGCAAUUCUAGAGCUAAUACACGCAGCAAAGUGGGGACCUUACGGAACCCAUGCAUUUAUUAGAACAAAACCAAUCGGUCCUAUUCUUGGGUCCGUAGUUUGGUGAAUCUGGAUAACUCUGCCAAUCGCAUGGUCUAAGAACCGGCGAUAUAUCUUUCAAAUGUCUGCCUUAUCAACUUUCGAUGGUAGUUUAUGCGCCUACCAUGGUUGUAACGGGUAACGGAGAAUCAGGGUUCGACUCCGGAGAGGGAGCCUGAGAAACGGCUACCACAUCCAAGGAAGGCAGCAGGCGCGCAAAUUACCCACUCUCGGGACGAGGAGGUAGUGACGAAAAAUAUCGAGAGGUUCUCUACGAGGACCAUCAUCGGAAUGAGUACAAUUUAAAACCUUUAACGAGGAUCUAUUGGAGGGCAAGUCCGGUGCCAGCAGCCGCGGUAAUUCCGGCUCCAUUAGUAUAUAUUAAAGUUGUUGCGGUUAAAAAGCUCGUAGUUGGUUUUCUGGCUUUGGGCGGCGGUCACCCAAUGGGUUGCUACUGUCGCACCAGGCCUCGCUCACCUCUAGUUCAUCCGAGGGUGCUCUUAAUUGCGGUGUCCUCGGUGGCUAGAAAUGUUACUUUGAAAAAAUUAGAGUGCUCAAAGCAAGCGUUUAGCUUGAAUAGUGGUGCAUGGAAUAAUGGAAUAGGACCUCGGUUCUAUUUUGUUGGUUUUCGGAGCUUGAGGUAAUGAUUAAUAGAGACUGACGGGGGCAUUCGUAUCGCGGUGUUAGAGGUGAAAUUCUUGGAUCACCGCGAGACGAACUACUGCGAAAGCAUUUGCCAAGAAAGUCUUCAUUAAUCAAGAACGAAAGUUAGAGGUUCGAAGGCGAUCAGAUACCGCCCUAGUUCUAACCGUAAACGAUGCCAACUAGCGAUCCGCGGGCGUUAAAUUGCAUGACUUCGCGGGGAGCUUCCGGGAAACCAAAGUUUUUGGGUUCCGGGGGAAGUAUGGUUGCAAAGCUGAAACUUAAAGGAAUUGACGGAAGAGCACACAAGGAGUGGAGCCUGCGGCUUAAUUUGACUCAACGCGGGAAAACUCACCCGGCCCGGACACCGUAAGGAUUGACAGAUUGAGAGCUCUUUCUUGAUUCGGUGGGUGGUGGUGCAUGGCCGUUCUUAGUUGGUGGAGCGAUUUGUCUGGUUAAUUCCGAUAACGAACGAGACUCUAGCCUACUAACUAGUCAAUAAAUCGCUAGUUUAUUGUACUUCUUAGAGGGACGAGAGGUGUCUAACCUCGCGAAAGAGAGCAAUAACAGGUCUGUAAUGCCCUUAGAUGUCCGGGGCUGCACGCGCGCUACAUUGAAGAAAGCAACUGGCAUUUUCCCCGAUUUGUAAAGAUUGGGAAACCCAUUGAAAUUUCUUCGUACUUGGGAUAGGGACUUGUAAUUAUUUUCCUUGAACGAGGAAUUCCUAGUAAGUGCGGGUCAUCAUCUCGCGUUGAUUACGUCCCUGCUCUUUGUACACACCGCCCGUCGCUACUACCGAUUGGAUGAUUUAGUGAGGCCUUCAGACUGGUGCCGAGGCGGCUUAACGGCUGCGUCGGUUGCCGGAAAG